Carassius gibelio (silver crucian carp) is the source of this 1302-nucleotide long non-coding RNA. RefSeq lists it as uncharacterized. Lineage: Eukaryota; Metazoa; Chordata; Actinopteri; Cypriniformes; Cyprinidae. The record is from RefSeq and is a predicted model, not a curated record. The transcript is spliced from 2 exons.
AGAUUUGAGGGAAAGAGUAAAAACAAGGAGGUCUGGGAAUGACUGAAGGGAUCUGACAGCAGUGAGGGAAGGAAGUAAUCACCAGAAUCUCAGAGAAGGAUGUUGACAGUGCAGGCCCAGGAUGAAGAAGAGGAGGAAGAACACGUUUAACAAUUUUCUAUAAGCUUGCCAUGUGUUAUAAUAAAAACAAUGAACAUGGCUACAAUAAUAUGCUAAAUGUUAUUAAAAGAUUCCAGUUUGCAAGAAGUCUGAGUGUCUGCCUCUACACUAGAGGAACUAUUUUCUGAAGAAGAUCAGGUGCUGAGAAGAAGCCUUGUUCUACAGCACAACACUGCAUCAAGCCUCCUGUCCUUCCCUCAGAAGAGCCUGUCUUCUGCUGCUGGGGUAAGAAACACCCUCUUCCUCUUCUCUAUCAGCUGUCCAGCACCUAACUCUGUCUGAAAGAGUCAUCUCCACAGUCAGUAAUCACAGAUCACAGAUUCUUCUGAGAAAAGUCGAUAUGCUCAUUUUCUUAAAAACAAAUAAUACAGGAGAGAUGAUAGAAAUCUCUAUAUUGUUCAUUUUUCAUAUCUUUACGCUUUAUGAAUGUUUUUCUUCUGAGAAGCUCAAGAAUUAUGGUUCUUUGGUAAUUGUUAUAUUGUUUAGGUUUAUCCUCUGAUAGUGAGCACAGAGCCCUGAUCAUGACAUGGAAGAAAAAAAGAAAUCAUGUCCAUGAUUUACUAAUUCGUUCCCUCUAUGUACUAAAACAUGCACGAUUACUUUUACAUUUCAUUGAUUUGCUAAAUCGUAUGCACAAUUUACUAAUUUGUUCUCUUGAUGUAUAAAUAGUGUACACGUUUUAGCAAAUCGAGGGAAUGAAAUAGAAAAUCGUGCGCAUGAAUUAGCCUAAAUGUUUUCCUGCAUGCCAUGUAAUUAAAGCACAUCACCAUCAGACAUUUAUACCAGGAGCCUCCUAUAUGACACUCACAGUUUUACUUUGUGCAGUAUCUCUGUGCAGUAUCUGCUGAAUUGUUUCAUAUCUAUUUAUCAUGUAUUUUUUGUUGCACUAAAUUAUGUUGUAUCAAUAAGUUUACUGAUAAUUAUUUUUAAUUUUCAAUAAUAACGUCAUUAACCAUCUCCCCAUCUUUAAGACAAAAAUUUUCUAUUGUUUAUAUUGUGUAAUCUAUGAAUUGAUGUGUUUAGUUUUCUGUGCUCAUAACUUAGUAACAUUUUGCAUGGUUAAAGAACAGGUGCGAUGUUCAAAAUGUUUUGGCUUCGUAUUUGUACAAAGUAGUGCUGAAUAAAUAUUGAUUUGUGAAUGAA